UACGUAGGGUGCAAGCGUUAAUCGGAAUUACUGGGCGUAAAGCGUGCGCAGGCGGUUUUGUAAGUCAGAUGUGAAAUCCCCGGGCUUAACCUGGGAACUGCGUUUGAAACUACAAGGCUAGAGUGUGGCAGAGGGGGGUAGAAUUCCACGUGUAGCAGUGAAAUGCGUAGAGAUGUGGAGGAACACCGAUGGCGAAGGCAGCCCCCUGGGAUAACACUGACGCUCAUGCACGAAAGCGUGGGGAGCAAACAGG
Molecule: ribosomal RNA, 253 nt
Filed under: uncultured bacterium
Lineage: Bacteria
Description: partial 16S ribosomal RNA
Rfam family: Bacterial small subunit ribosomal RNA
Source: RNAcentral